UUUGUACUCCAUCCGUCCCAAAAUUCUUGUCUUAAAUUUGUCUAAAUAUGGAUGUAUCUAGUGACAUUUUAGUGUUAGAUACAUCCGUAUCUAAACAAAUGUAAAACAAGAAUUUUGGGAUGGAGGGAAUACUAC
This is a non-coding RNA of Triticum aestivum (bread wheat), 135 nucleotides long. The record is from Rfam. NCBI's taxonomy places the organism in Eukaryota, Viridiplantae, Streptophyta, Magnoliopsida, Poales, Poaceae.